GAACGCUGGCGGCGUGCUUAACACAUGCAAGUCGAACGUGAUUAGAGAGCUUGCUCUCUAUGAAAGUGGCGCACGGGUGAGUAACGCGUGGAUAACCUGCCCUGGUAUCUGGGAUAACACUCCGAAAGGGGUGCUAAUACCGGAUAAGCCCACGGGCUCUUCGGAGCUUGCGGGAAAAGGUGGCCUCUGUAUAUGCUACUGUAUCAGGAUGGGUCCGCGUACCAUUAGCUAGUUGGUGGUGUAAUGGACCACCAAGGCGACGAUGGUUAGCUGGUCUGAGAGGAUGAUCAGCCACACUGGAACUGAGACACGGUCCAGACUCCUACGGGAGGCAGCAGUGGGGAAUUUUGCGCAGUGGGGGAAACCCUGACGCAGCAACGCCGCGUGAGUGAUGAAGGCCUUCGGGUCGUAAAGCUCUGUCAGUGGGGAAGAAAUGGAACGUGCUAAUACCACGUUUUCUUGACGGUACCCACAAAGGAAGCACCGGCUAACUCCGUGCCAGCAGCCGCGGUAAUACGGAGGGUGCAAGCGUUGUUCGGAUUUAUUGGGCGUAAAGCGCGUGUAGGCGGUUUCUUAAGUCUGAUGUGAAAGCCCCGGGCUCAACCCGGGAAGUGCAUUGGAUACUGGGAGACUUGAAUACGGGAGAGGGUAGUGGAAUUCCUAGUGUAGGAGUGAAAUCCGUAGAUAUUAGGAGGAACACCGGUGGCGAAGGCGGCUACCUGGACCGAUAUUGACGCUGAGACGCGAAAGCGUGGGGAGCAAACA
RNAcentral lists this ribosomal RNA (765 nucleotides) under uncultured soil bacterium. RNAcentral's name for it is "bacterial SSU rRNA". It matches the Rfam family "Bacterial small subunit ribosomal RNA", at positions 31 to 774 of the family's 1533-position model. The record is from RNAcentral.